RNAcentral lists this transfer RNA (83 nucleotides) under Xanthomonas sp. SI. RNAcentral's name for it is "tRNA-Val". The record is from RNAcentral. Lineage: Bacteria; Pseudomonadati; Pseudomonadota; Gammaproteobacteria; Lysobacterales; Lysobacteraceae.
GGCAGCACGUGGCCGAAGACGCCGACGGCGUGGUGGUGACCACGCCGCACGCGCGCCUGCGGUUCGAUUUCGUGGUGCUGUCG